CUUAUAAGAAAAGCGCCAGAACUUAAAUUGGGAUGGAAAAUACAAUUUAAGUUGACGAGGGCAGGGUUUAUCGAGGAUUCGGCGGAUACCCUGCGGUGUUGUCAUCACCGAGAAAAAUCUUACAAACCCUUUAAGCGAUUAAAGGAACAAAAAAGAUUUUAAUGACAAAA
Molecule: non-coding RNA, 170 nt
Filed under: Garciella nitratireducens
Lineage: Bacteria; Bacillati; Bacillota; Clostridia; Eubacteriales; Eubacteriaceae
Also listed under: 1 other name
Description: GlcN6P sequence
Rfam family: glmS glucosamine-6-phosphate activated ribozyme aptamer
About the family: This entry contains a glucosamine-6-phosphate activated ribozyme that is found in the mRNA for GlmS. GlmS is an enzyme that uses fructose-6-phosphate and glutamine to generate glucosamine-6-phosphate.
Source: RNAcentral